Molecule: ribosomal RNA, 253 nt
Filed under: uncultured bacterium
Lineage: Bacteria
Description: partial 16S ribosomal RNA
Rfam family: Bacterial small subunit ribosomal RNA
Source: RNAcentral
UACAGAGGGUGCAAACGUUGUUCGGAAUUACUGGGCGUAAAGCGUGUGUAGGCGGUCUUACAAGUCAGGUGUGAAAGCCCCGGGCUCAACCCGGGAAGUGCACUUGAUACUGUUUGACUUGAGUACUGGAGAGGUUGGUGGAAUUCUCGGUGUAGAGGUGAAAUUCGUAGAUAUCGAGAGGAACACCUGUGGCGAAGGCGGCCAACUGGACAGAUACUGACGCUGAGACGCGAAAGCGUGGGGAGCAAACAGG